CCUACGGGUGGCAGCAGUGAGGAAUAUUGGUCAAUGGACGCAAGUCUGAACCAGCCAUGCCGCGUGCAGGAAGACGGCUCUAUGAGUUGUAAACUGCUUUUGUCCGGGGGUAAACGCAGAUACGCGUCUCUGUCUGAAAGUAUCGUACGAAUACGGAUCGGCUAACUCCGUGCCAGCAGCCGCGGUAAUUCGGAGGAUUCAAGCGUUAUCCGGAUUUAUUGGGUUUAAAGGGUGCGUAGGCGGUCGGUUAAGUUAGAGGUGAAAUCCCGUGGCUCAACUUCGGAAUUGCCUCUGAUACUGGUAGGCUAGAGAGUAGGUGCGGUAGGCGGAAUGUGUGGUGUAGCGGUGAAAUGCAUAGAGAUCAUGCAGAACACCGAUUGCGAAGGCAGCUUACCGGGCUACUACUGACGUUGAGGCACGAAAGCGUGGGGAGCAAACAGGAUUAGAUACCCUAGUAGUC
Molecule: ribosomal RNA, 460 nt
Filed under: uncultured bacterium
Lineage: Bacteria
Description: partial 16S ribosomal RNA
Rfam family: Bacterial small subunit ribosomal RNA
Source: RNAcentral